RNAcentral lists this ribosomal RNA (401 nucleotides) under uncultured bacterium. RNAcentral describes it as "bacterial SSU rRNA". It matches the Rfam family "Bacterial small subunit ribosomal RNA", at positions 355 to 773 of the family's 1533-position model. The record is from RNAcentral.
UGGGGAAUAUUGGACAAUGGGGGAAACCCUGAUCCAGCAAUGCCGCGUGGGUGAUGAAGGCCUUCGGGUUGUAAAGCCCUUUUGGCGGGGACGAUGAUGACGGUACCCGCAGAAUAAGCCCCGGCUAACUUCGUGCCAGCAGCCGCGGUAAUACGAAGGGGGCUAGCGUUGUUCGGAAUUACUGGGCGUAAAGGGCGCGUAGGCGGUCGUGCAAGUCAGAUGUGAAAGCCCUGGGCUCAACCCAGGAUGUGCAUUUGAUACUGCAUGGCUAGAGUGUCGGAGAGGAUGGUGGAAUUCCCAGUGUAGAGGUGAAAUUCGUAGAUAUUGGGAAGAACACCGGUGGCGAAGGCGACCAUCUGGACGACAACUGACGCUGAGGCGCGAAAGCGUGGGGAGCAAAC